RNAcentral lists this ribosomal RNA (429 nucleotides) under uncultured bacterium. RNAcentral's name for it is "bacterial SSU rRNA". It matches the Rfam family "Bacterial small subunit ribosomal RNA", at positions 28 to 433 of the family's 1533-position model. The record is from RNAcentral.
GAUGAACGCUGGCGGCGUGCUUAACACAUGCAAGUCGAACGAAGCACUUUAGACAGAAGCCUUCGGGCGGAAGACUUUGGUGACUUAGUGGCGGACGGGUGAGUAACGCGUGGGUAACCUGCCUCACACAGGGGGAUAACAGUUGGAAACGGCUGCUAAUACCGCAUAAGCGCACAGUACCGCAUGGUACGGUGUGAAAAACUCCGGUGGUGUGAGAUGGACCCGCGUCUGAUUAGCCAGUUGGCGGGGUAACGGCCCACCAAAGCGACGAUCAGUAGCCGGCCUGGGAGGGUGAACGGCCACAUUGGGACUGAGACACGGCCCGAAACUCCUACGGGAGGCAGCAGUGGGGAAUAUUGCACAAUGGGGGGAAACCCUGAUGCAGCGACGCCGCGUGAGUGAAGAAGGUAAUUUCGGUAUGUAAAGCUC